This 575-nucleotide long non-coding RNA is filed under the name Bos indicus x Bos taurus (hybrid cattle). RNAcentral describes it as "lncRNA (ENSBIXG00000028507.1)". The record is from RNAcentral. Lineage: Eukaryota; Metazoa; Chordata; Mammalia; Artiodactyla; Bovidae.
CAAGGACCAGCAUGGAAUAGGCGAAGGAUAAGCCUUGGCUGAGGGGAUUCAGGGAUGCUCUGCCAAGGCGAGACCUGCCGAGACGACAGAUGCCCGUCCCGACGCCCAGCCUCCUCCUCCCGCGUCUUUCUGGCGCCCCCCGGGGUCCGCGGCCUCUGUUCCCCUGGCAGCGGAUGCCCGAGAAGCCGGGUGAGGUGAGGUGUUUACGAGAUGGCAAGCGGGAGCACGCUGAUGGCUGGGGGUGCGGCCUGAGGAACGCCCCUCCCACCCAAAAGCUUUCCACUGAGCCGGCUGUUUUGUUUCCGAGGAGAUCACUAUUAAUAUGCAUGCUCCCGCCUCCCUCCCGCCUCCUUGGUUGACGAGGCAAAAGAACUGCAGAAUAUUUACCAGCCCUGGCCCAUGUGUUCGGGAAACAGUCCUGCCAAUGAAUGCCUCUUCCUACCGACCAGCGGAGAAGAGAGAGGAACACCUCCCUAAGGCUCGGCGAGUUUGGCGAGUUUGGGGCGGGGGAGGGACACCAACGUGGCUACUGGGUCUGGACAGAAUUUUGCACAUUUUAUACCAGAAAAAUAAAA